GACCCGGUGGCUCAGUCGGGUAGAGGUUUAGCUUUGACAUAGAAGGUCCCGGGUUCAAUCCCCACUGCGGUCA
Molecule: non-coding RNA, 73 nt
Organism: Caenorhabditis elegans
Lineage: Eukaryota; Metazoa; Nematoda; Chromadorea; Rhabditida; Rhabditidae
Source: the annotation of a RefSeq genome assembly